RNAcentral lists this unclassified non-coding RNA (199 nucleotides) under Trichosporon lactis. Its description in RNAcentral is "partial internal transcribed spacer region". The stretch from base 1 to 46 matches the Rfam family "Eukaryotic small subunit ribosomal RNA", at positions 1786 to 1831 of the family's 1831-position model. The record is from RNAcentral. Lineage: Eukaryota; Fungi; Basidiomycota; Tremellomycetes; Trichosporonales; Trichosporonaceae.
AAGUCGUAACAAGGUUUCCGUAGGUGAACCUGCGGAAGGAUCAUUAGUGAUUGCCUUCAUUGGCUUAAAACUAUAUCCACAUACACCUGUGAACUGUUCUACUACUUGACGCAAGUCGAGUAUUUUUACAAACAAUGUGUAAUGAACGUCGUUUUAUUAUAACAAAAUAAAACUUUCAACAACGGAUCUCUUGGCUCUC